GGGACGUACGCGCUGUUUCUCGCAGCGGGGCCGUCCCUUGGGGUGAAGCCGCAGCCGCGGCCGGGCAUCUUCGCCAGUCCGAACCCGACAGGUCAUCCUUCGCAGGCGGCUGACGAAGGGUUGC
This 124-nucleotide small RNA is filed under the name Streptomyces vietnamensis. Its description in RNAcentral is "c-di-AMP sequence". It matches the Rfam family "c-di-AMP riboswitch aptamer (ydaO/yuaA leader)". Rfam says of the family: This family represents a conserved RNA structure found upstream of the ydaO and yuaA genes in Bacillus subtilis and related genes in other bacteria. The ydaO/yuaA element is thought to act as a genetic "off" switch for the ydaO and yuaA genes in its native state. Lineage: Bacteria; Bacillati; Actinomycetota; Actinomycetes; Kitasatosporales; Streptomycetaceae. The record is from RNAcentral.